RNAcentral lists this ribosomal RNA (263 nucleotides) under uncultured archaeon. RNAcentral describes it as "partial 16S ribosomal RNA". It matches the Rfam family "Archaeal small subunit ribosomal RNA", at positions 748 to 1009 of the family's 1478-position model. The record is from RNAcentral.
UAGCCGUAAACGAUACUCGCUAGGUGUCGGCCACGGUGCGACCGUUGUCGGUGCCGUAGGGAAGCCGUGAAGCGAGCCACCUGGGAAGUACGGCCGCAAGGCUGAAACUUAAAGGAAUUGGCGGGGGGAGGCACCACAACGGGUGGAGCUUGCGGUUUAAUUGGAUUCAACGCCGGAAAUCUUACCGGGACCGACAGCAACAUGAAGGCCAGGCUGAAGACUUUGCCGGAUUAGCUGAGAGGAGGUGCAUGGCGUAGUCGUGU